RNAcentral lists this long non-coding RNA (992 nucleotides) under Gossypium barbadense (sea-island cotton). RNAcentral describes it as "long non-coding RNA (GBAR_LNC020905)". The record is from RNAcentral. Lineage: Eukaryota; Viridiplantae; Streptophyta; Magnoliopsida; Malvales; Malvaceae.
GGGUUUUCUCACAAAGCUCGACUCCUCAGCAUCGAAUCUUUUGUGUUGCAGUAUGGGCCAUCUGGGGAGACAGGAACAAUAGAUUGCAUAAAAAAGAUGGUAAAUCUAGAAAAGAAGUUGGGAGAUUUGUUCAUAGCUAUAUUUCAGAUCUUGAUGCAGUUGGUAAAAAUAGGUUGCAAUCUUCCAUACCUGUAAAAAUAUGGACAAAGCCAGUGGACAAGGUAGUCAAAAUCUAUUUCGAUGCAGCGUACGACGGUAGACAAAGUAAAGCGGCUAUUGGGGUUGUGGCCCGCGAUAAGGAGGGUUCAGUUCUUCUAUCAUGUACGUAGGUUCAUCAAAGAGUUCCCUCAGCCUUUGGGGCGGAAGCAAUAGCAUCUCGGAAAGCCCUCCAGAUCGGCGUUAACAUGAAGUGGGAAAAAGUUAUUAUUGAAGGGGAUUCUUUAUCAAUAAUAGGAAAAUGUAAAACAAAAAGCCCCGAUAAAUCAUUGAUUAGUGUGUAUUUACAUGAUAUUCAUCAACUUCUGCUUAAAUUCAAGGAGUGUAGGUUUGAGCAUAUCCCAAGAUUAGCAAACAACCUUGCGCAUAUAUUAGCAAAUGAAGCGCUGAAGAGUAGUAGAGGAGCCUACCUGAUCGGACGAGUCCCUGAAGCGGCAGAAAUCCAAGCAGAAACUGAGAGGGCAAAAGAACCAGAUUGAAGGAAGAAAGCGAGAAAUGAAGGGAUGAGAGUAUAGAGAAGGGCAGACAUCAAAGUUAUUUCAGCAGCCCUAGAGUAAUCUCAAGCGUCUUGGAAAAGUAAAUAAAAUUGAAGAGAUAAGACGUUUGUAGUCUUUUAAGACUGAUUGGGCAGGUAGAAUAGUAAACAUUUAUUAGAAUCAGAUUUUGUUUCCUUUUUCAUUUCUCUAGGAGAGUUGGUUUUUCAAUUUUUGUCUUUUAGUUUUCUUUUGCUGGGCUCAAUUUUUUUAAUUGGGCUCGUUGGUUGUUUUUUCUAGGAU